GAACAUCCAUGGCUGAAGUCCCCAGUUUGCUGCAGGCCAGCUUCCAGCCAGGAGGAUCAGGCUGCGAGCCCCUGCUCAGCAGUGCUGACUCCAUUCCCCAGGGGACACAGCAUUUAGGACCGCACGUCCCAUCCAGUUCACACAUUGUCCUGGCAUGUUGGCAGCAGCUCUGGUGAAUCCAGGUCCCCCGGUCUGCGAAGGAAACACCCCUGAACGGGUCCCUGGGAUUAGGCAGGAAGCAGAGGCUUUAAUGAAGCAGACUCCAUUCUUCCAAGGGGUGAAGGGAGGUAUAUGCCAGAAAAGCCUGUGGUCACUCCUGAAGCUGAGCAGCUCAUUUUAUGGACUGCUUUUUGCUGCCCACUCUCACUGAAGGCAAA
Molecule: long non-coding RNA, 377 nt
Organism: Melospiza melodia melodia
Lineage: Eukaryota; Metazoa; Chordata; Aves; Passeriformes; Passerellidae
Exons: 3
Source: RefSeq, a predicted model, not a curated record